CACAAACAAAGAUAACUCAUGUGAGAUUAAAACUGGCUCAAGUUCAUAUCUUGUGCAAAGAUUAACCGUAAUAGAAAUCCCCAAAUUUUAGGCUUAGUGUUUUACCUGCUCUAACAUACAUACACUAUGCUGUUUAGGAGUCUUGAGAAGAGAAAAAUAUAAACAAACUCUUAACCACUACUAUGCUGACAUAAUGCCCAACAAAUUCUCACACAUGAAAUACUGCAAUUAAGAGUCACUAAGAGUCACUAACAGCUGAAACCAAAUUCCUUGUAUGUGUCAACACACUUGGCCAAUAAAGCUGAUUCUGAUUCUGAACAGAUGAGUUACAGCUUUCACCCUGCUCGAAACACAAGCUAAGCUGGUCAAGCUGGUUUUUAGCUGGUUAUUACUUGCCCAAAUUUCUCAUUUCUUGAAUAAAUUGAUUAAUAAAUGUUUGGAAACGAUUCCUCGAGUAACUUGAGCAAUUCAAAUACAAAAAAAACCAUUAUUUGUUCAGUCUAUUGAACUACAACACGGAGCACUGUUUCCCCACAGACCACUUUUACUAACGCACCACCCGCUAAACACCAGACCACUCUGGGGUCUUAUUUAGAAACGUGGCAUAACGACACUUACCAUGCAAAGGUUGUGAUUUAAAAAAAAAAAAAAAACUUGACGGGAGAAUGUACGCAUCUGUAAAUAAACUCUUUCAACGCGUUGCCACUCGCACUACUUCUUUUUAUUAGUGAUUCCACUGCUGUGGCCACCAAAUAAUGUUUUCCGGGCCUUCACCUCGUCUACAAGUGUGUGUAUGUCAGUGUCUAAGAAUUGCUCUUUUCUUAUAUGUCCCUAUUAAUCACCCUAACGAAAGAAAAAUGGCAUAACAGGCUCAUUAAUAUGGUUCAUCAUUCAUGAGGUGGUUUGCAUUGACUAUUUAUAGUUAAAAGUGGCCAUGUACAGGGUGGGAUUUGAGGCUGAUUCAUGUACGCAUAUGAUUAAUAAAGAGAACUUACAGGUUGCAGGUGUGUGUAUUUUUGGGCGUAUGCUAUUGUUGACUUUUGGGCACAAGUACACUUUAAGUAAGAGUCCUACACACAGUUUUAUAAAUGAGAACCCUGGACAGGUAAACAUAGAAGAUGCUGAAGAAAGAAAAAUGGAAGAACAUGGAGAAAACAGUGAGGGGUGAGGAGAAGAUUCAGGCCAAAGAAACCAACAGAAAGUUUCCAACAUUUGGGAUCAUUUCAAACUAAAUUAAAAAGAAAACAACACAUUUAGAUUUUUUUUAAAGCAAUCUGAAAUGGAUUUUUCUAUUAUAUAAGCUACAAGGUGGCACAGUGGUGCAAUCAGUGUCUCUCACACCUUCAGACACCCUGGUUUGAUCCCAACAACUGUGUGUAUAAAAUUUCAGUGUAUGUCCUCAGUGAACGGUUUCCUUCCUGUUCACCAGUUUCAUCCCACUUCCAAAAAACUAGUCAGUGCAUAGACUGGUUACUUCGAUGUGCAUGGUGCAUGGGAUCAAGGUCCCUUUCAGUGUCAUGGCUUAUUCAUGUGAUAGGCUCCAUCACAUCCCUGACAAAGAUCAAGUGGUGGUGGGGUUUUUUUUUAACUAAAAGUGAAGGUAUGAGUCAACAUGUCAAUGAUGCACCAGUUGGCAGAGUUGGUCUACAAGCCUACCUCAAGCUCAAACUAAAAGGAAUUUGUCAACAGAGGUUGUAAAAACCACUUUAACCCUAAAAGUGUGUAGGAGAAUCUCAGGACUUAAAGUUAAAGUCUCCUUGAAGCCACCUGGACCAGCCAAUAAGACGUGUCCGGGGCUCGCGCGUCUCCUCGUCAGUGAUCUAAAUCCCUCGCGCGUCUCCUUGUCAGUGAUAUAAAUCCCUCGCGCGUCUCCUUGUCAGUGAUAUAAAUCCCUCGCGCGACGCAGAAAGAUCUAGAAUAAGGCAGAAACUUUUUACCUCAGACUCGACUGACAAUAAAAACACUCAUUAACACAAAUGUACGUGUUCGUAUAGUAAGAAAGAAUGCAGGGAUGUGAUGUCAAAGAGAAGAGGACUUUAUUCAGCAGCUAUGAAGUCAAGCAGUCCCAUGGAAGCACCAAAAAACUGACAACUUAAAGCGUGGCCACCGUGUAAUUAAAAAAUCAUUCAGACCCUGUUUUGGGAGGGGGAGGAAUAAACAGGAGCAUCUGAAGGAAGCCCACAUAGGCAUAAGGAGAAGACAUGAAACUUCACAGAGAAAGGAAGAAUCUUUGUAUGUCCAAGAAGUUUUUCCAAGUUAUGAGACCCUUCUCCUGGAAUUGUUACGUCCAAUACUGGUGAUGCUACUUUUGCGGGAGAGAAUGGGAGUUGGCGCAGUGGGCGAGGGU
This is a long non-coding RNA of Silurus meridionalis, 2347 nucleotides long. RefSeq lists it as uncharacterized. The transcript has 4 exons. NCBI's taxonomy places the organism in Eukaryota, Metazoa, Chordata, Actinopteri, Siluriformes, Siluridae. The record is from RefSeq and is a predicted model, not a curated record.